AGCGAACGCUGGCGGCGUGCCUAACACAUGCAAGUCGAACGUGAAAAGGGAAACCUGAGUAAAGUGGCGUACGGGUGAGUAACGCGUAGGUAAUCUACCCCAGAAUCUGGAAUAACCCGCCGAAAGGCGGGCUAAUACUGGAUAGAGCGAGGGAACUCGUAAGAGAGUUUUUCGGGAAAGGGAGCCCGCAAGGGCCUUCGUUCUGGGAUGAGCCUGCGUCUCAUUAGCUAGUUGGUAAGGUAACGGCUUACCAAGGCGAUGAUGAGUAGCUGGUCUGAGAGGAUGAUCAGCCACACUGGAACUGAAACACGGUCCAGACUCCUACGGGAGGCAGCAGUGGGGAAUCUUGCGCAAUGGACGAAAGUCUGACGCAGCCACGCCGCGGGAGUGAAGAAGGCCUUCGGGUUGUAAAGCUCUGUCGGAUGGGACGAACAUCUUCAUAGUGAAUAGCUAUGAGGACUGACGGUACCAUCAAAGGAAGCACCGGCUAACUCCGUG
This 498-nucleotide ribosomal RNA is filed under the name uncultured bacterium. Its description in RNAcentral is "partial 16S ribosomal RNA". It matches the Rfam family "Bacterial small subunit ribosomal RNA", at positions 29 to 507 of the family's 1533-position model. The record is from RNAcentral.